Molecule: ribosomal RNA, 469 nt
Filed under: uncultured bacterium
Lineage: Bacteria
Description: bacterial SSU rRNA
Rfam family: Bacterial small subunit ribosomal RNA
Source: RNAcentral
UGGUGGCGUGUCUAUACAUGCAAGCGAGCGAGGCAGCAAUGCCGAGCGGCGAACGGGUGAGUAACGCGUAAGCAAUCUGCCCCAUAUCAGGAAAUACCCGUGCCAACGCGCGGUUAAUGUCCAGGAGAGUGGCCCCCUGCAUGGAGGGUUGACUAGAGAUUUAUCGGUAUGGGAUGAGCUUGCGUCCGAUUAGCUAGUUGGCGGGGCAACGGCCCACCAAGGCGACGAUCGGUAGCCGGCCUGAGAGGGUGAUCGGCCACAUUGGGACUGAGAUACGGCCCAGACUCCUACGGGAGGCAGCAGUAGGGAAUAUUGCACAAUGGGGGAAACCCUGAUGCAGCAACGCCACGUGUUGGGAAGAAGCAUUUCGGUGUGUAAAACCACUGUCAUGAGGGAAUAAGGCCCGCCUUCGGACGGGAUUGAAUGUACCUUGAGAGGAAGCACCGGCAAACUUCGUGCCAGCAGCCGC